RNAcentral lists this ribosomal RNA (41 nucleotides) under Mundulea stenophylla. Its description in RNAcentral is "partial 26S ribosomal RNA". The record is from RNAcentral. Lineage: Eukaryota; Viridiplantae; Streptophyta; Magnoliopsida; Fabales; Fabaceae.
GUUAAAGCAUAUCAAUAGCGGGAAGAAUUACAGAUUCCCUU